Molecule: small nuclear RNA, 107 nt
Filed under: Propithecus coquereli (Coquerel's sifaka)
Lineage: Eukaryota; Metazoa; Chordata; Mammalia; Primates; Indriidae
Source: RNAcentral
GUGCUUCCUUUGGCAGCACAUAUAGUAAAAAUGGAAUGAUAUGGAGAAGAUCAACAUGGCCCCUAUGCAAGGAAGUCAUGCAAAUUCAUGAAGCAUUCCAUAUUUUU